This is a long non-coding RNA of Wasmannia auropunctata (little fire ant), 1350 nucleotides long. RefSeq lists it as uncharacterized. The record is from RefSeq and is a predicted model, not a curated record. NCBI's taxonomy places the organism in Eukaryota, Metazoa, Arthropoda, Insecta, Hymenoptera, Formicidae. The transcript has 2 exons.
GAAUGUUUAUUUUUUCCCAACAUAUAGCUGCCUUUUGAUUAAAUUUAUUGAUGUGUAAUACAAGAUUAUAUAAAUUAGCAUUGUAUCGUAUUACUCGAUCAAUCAAUAUUGGCGACAAGUUUUAUUAUAAACUAUAGGCAAUUUAAUUUGUCAAAUGUAAUAGUUUUUCCUUUUGUUACGUGAGCUUCAUUUUCUAUUGGUUUUCUUAUGUUUGUCAAAUUCGAUUCGAUCGUCUAUUUCUUUACGGUAAAAUAUAAGCUAUUACUUGUCAACUUCAGAAAAGGAUUGCAGUGAUCGAAGCAGCGAAUAUUCUGUAUAUAAUUGCCACGUGAUAAUGAUUUGAAAUAUUAUACAAAGAGAAGUCCCAUUCGAAAGGAUGUGGAGAACGACGACGAUGGAAGGGAAUAAAUUGCUAUCGCGUCUGAUCGUAUAUAAAGCUUACCUCCUUGAAUGGUUACUACUCGUGAUUCGGACCGAUAUCUCGUGGCAUGCCAUACGGGAAAUGAGAAGAAUGAAGAAGAGAGGGCGAACUCGUGCGUCAUCGUUAUUUUCUCUUUUCGUUCUCGCGUAUGGCGAUCAAUUGCGGAUGAAGUGGCAGAAAUUCGCGCGUGACGGGGUUGCACUAGAACGAUUUAGAAACAUAUAUUGAUCGCUUUAAUUCGAGAACUCUCCUGCAACUGUCAAAAUAAAAUUAAUAAAACGAUUAACGCGACAAAUUAAAGAAAAUUAGAAAUAAAAGUAAGACCGUUAGAUAAUAAAGAACGUCAAUUUUUUAUAUAAAAAUUCAAGAUCGCAUUGCAUGAAAAUGGCAAUGUUAACGUCGAACUUAUGUUUUAGUCAUUGUUAUUUAUUUUUUACUUUUUUCACGGUCUUCACUUUCUUCUAUAUCAUUUUGAAAUCUUUGAAAAACAUAUAUAUAUAGGUAUUGUUUAUAGUGUAUAUUAUUAUCGCCGCAGAACACCGUUUGCUAUGCAUCUUUUCCUUCUUUAAGGUGUACUAAGUGAUGUACGCAUCGCGGUAUUCUUGAAGCUUUAGGCGGAAACUCAAAUACAGACGCUAUACAAGAUCAAUAUAGUUGUAUACUACGAUGCACAUAUGUUCGGGAGCGAUUCGAAGGAUACACCGACUGCAUUCAACGAUGAACAGUAUCAUUUUCUCGUUAUGACGAUUGAGAACGCGGAAGUUUCUCUAAAGUGAGGUCUGAGCAAGAUAGAAGGCAUCUUGUCUACUAUCACAAUUAGAUAACAAUGUCUAAUAUCAAAAUGAUUACGAUUGCGAAUUGCGUUGUUAUAAAUAUUCGCGAUAAUUUGCAAUGUACUUGAUUAUAUUUAAUGAAAGUAUUUAUCUUUA